UAAGGAAUAUUGCUCAAUGGGAGAAAUCCUGAAGCAGCAACGCCGCGUGGAGGAUGAAGGGUCUAUGACUUGUAAACUCCUGUAAAGAAGGAAAAAAUUCCCAUUUGAUGGGAGGUGAUGGUACUUCUGGAGUAAGCCCCGGCUAACUACGUGCCAGCAGCCGCGGUAAUACGUAGGGGGCAAGCGUUGUCCGGAUUUACUGGGUGUAAAGGGUGCUCAGGCGGAUUUGUAAGUCAGAGGUGAAAUCUUACAGCUUAACUGUGAAACUGCCUUUGAUACUGCAAGCCUAGAGUAUGGAAGAGAGUGAUGGAAUAUCUGGUGUAGCAGUGAAAUGCGUAGAUAUCAGAUAGAACACCAAUGGCGAAGGCAGUCACUUGGUCCAUUACUGACGCUAAAGCACGAAAGCGUGGGUAGCAAACA
This 420-nucleotide ribosomal RNA is filed under the name uncultured bacterium. RNAcentral describes it as "bacterial SSU rRNA". It matches the Rfam family "Bacterial small subunit ribosomal RNA", at positions 355 to 774 of the family's 1533-position model. The record is from RNAcentral.